AAAAGAAUAAACAACAACAACAACAACAUCAAGGAGCUGGUCCACUUUAUUCAACACUCAAUCAAGACGAUGAUACUCCUCCUCCUGUCCCUCCUGCCUAUAAUCCUGAGGGAGUACAGGAAUACUCUGUAUUGAAGAGAGAGGGAGAGAAUAAGGGUCAACAGGGUCUGUCUACUGGUGCUACUGGACUAUAUUCAACCAUUAAUAAAAACACCAACAACCAGGUGUUAGUUGAUGAAUCAGCUCAUAAGCCAGUGUAUGCUGAUCUGGCUAUUGCUGAUAAAGGGAAGAGACCACAGGCAGCACCAACACAAGAACAACCAGUGGUAUAUGCAUCAGUUAACAACAAAUCUGUUCCUCCUCCC
This 365-nucleotide long non-coding RNA is filed under the name Amphimedon queenslandica. Its description in RNAcentral is "uncharacterized LOC109590629, transcript variant X2". The record is from RNAcentral. Lineage: Eukaryota; Metazoa; Porifera; Demospongiae; Haplosclerida; Niphatidae.